CUACGGGGGGCAGCAGUGGGGAAUAUUGCACAAUGGGGGAAACCCUGAUGCAGCGACGCCGCGUGAGUGAAGAAGUAUUUCGGUAUGUAAAGCUCUAUCAGCAGGGAAGAAAAUGACGGUACCUGACUAAGAAGCCCCGGCUAACUACGUGCCAGCAGCCGCGGUAAUACGUAGGGGGCAAGCGUUAUCCGGAUUUACUGGGUGUAAAGGGGGCGUAGACGGUGAGACAAGUCUGAAGUGAAAUCCCGGGGCUCAACCCCGGAACUGCUUUGGAAACUGCCUGACUAGAGUGCAGGAGAGGUAAGUGGAAUUCCUAGUGUAGCGGUGAAAUGCGUAGAUAUUAGGAGGAACACCAGUGGCGAAGGCGGCUUACUGGACUGUAACUGACGUUGAGGCUCGAAAGCGUGGGGAGCAAACAGGAUUAGAUACCCCCGUAGUC
Molecule: ribosomal RNA, 439 nt
Filed under: uncultured bacterium
Lineage: Bacteria
Description: partial 16S ribosomal RNA
Rfam family: Bacterial small subunit ribosomal RNA
Source: RNAcentral